This 524-nucleotide long non-coding RNA is filed under the name Homo sapiens (human). Its description in RNAcentral is "non-protein coding lnc-ZNF517-2:7". Lineage: Eukaryota; Metazoa; Chordata; Mammalia; Primates; Hominidae. The record is from RNAcentral.
CUCUCUGGGCAGUGAGCACCUGUGAUUCCAGGGCACAGUGAUGUUUGAGGAGGUGGCCAUGUACCUCACACAGGAGGAGGGGCAGCACCUGGGACCCCCUCAGAGAGCACUCUACCAGGAUGUGAUGCUCGAGAACCACUGCACCCUACCAGCUCUGGAUAAGCAUCACAUGAAAAGAAAAUUCAUGGUGGAGAAAAACCCUGUGUGUGUAGUGAAUGUGGUAAGGGCUUUAGGGAGACAUCAAAGCUUGUUAAACAUCAGAGAAUUCAUACUGGAGAAAAGCCCUAUAGGUGGGAUGAAUGUGACAAAGCCUUUAGUGGGAAUUCAAACCUUAUUAAACACCAACUGAUACAUACUGGAGAGAAGCCCUAUAAAUGUAUUGAGUGCGGGAAAGCCUUUAAUCCGAAAGCAAAUCCCAUGCAAUAUCAGAGAAUUCAUACAGGAGAGAAACUUUUUGAAUCUCAUUAUAUAAUGUCAGAGAGUUCCUGUUGGAGAGAACCCCUAUGGAUGUAAUGAAUGUUGAA